AGACGGACAGAGAGGAAGAAAAAGGAAGGAGAGGAAAGGAAAGGAAGAAAGGAAGAGAAAAGGAAAGGAAGAAAGGAAGAGGAAGGAGAUUCCGGUUGCGCUGCCAGCUGAAGAAAAAAGUGUAGAUCUCCUUCCCCUCUACGCAAGGACCUCGAUUUCCAAAAAGAAAAAGGUAAAUAUCCGUCCCUAUCUAGUCUUUUGAUGACAUUAGGCUAUACAAAGGGUGGAUAUAGUCUAGAGGGGUCGGAUAAGGGUUGUAGAGGCGGUUAAAAGAGGAAGAAUCGGAUUUUGACAAAUUUUUCCGGCACUACGGAAAAACUGUGUCGAAGUCCCAACUUCGGCGAAUUAUUUAGGGGGUCAAACGACCUCCGAUAGCAAUGCAUGUUACCUCUUUAGAAUCUCCUAUGAGUGUAGAAUGUUAGGUAAAAAUUUCAUCAAAUUUGGAGUCCUGAAAGUGGAUCAAACCCGGGAUGAAGUAACCGGCUGUCGGUCCGGAUUACUGUUCAUCCGGGUGGAAAAUGGGGGAUUUCAUACUAUAAUAGGGUAUUAAGCCUAGAUCAAGCUAAAAGGGACCUUGUACUCAUGCAAGGGAAUCCCUGGUAUACAUAAAUGAUGAGUUAAUUAAUAAAAAAGAAAAAAAGAAAGAAAAGAAAAGAUUUAGGGAACGGGGGAGUUGAAUCAAUUAAAGUUCCCUAUAUUAUAAUUGGCACGUAGAUUAUAGCCCUUGAUACAAAACUAAAUAUAUUGUAAAUGCAUGUCACAGUUGGGCAAGAAGCUAGGGAACAAGAGGAAGAAGUUCCCCACUGCCAGCUGUAGAUUUUUGGAGGCGUAUCAGGGCUGUGCCAGAUUGACAGGUGAGUGGGAGUCAUGUACUUUGCACCAUGAGCAUCCUUAAUUUAUUUUCAUGAAUGUCGCCAAGUGUGAUUUGAUUCCACUUGAGCAUAUUGAUUGAUAUUGUAGUAGAUUCCUCUAUAAUCUUGAUUCUCUAUGCUUGAUUAUUCUAUACAUGCAUUUGAGGAAACAUUGAGAGGAAAUAUGAGGGGUUGAUGAGUAAUCAAAUUGAUUCCGAAUUGUGAAAUGAUUUUUUUUGUAAAUUGAUUUCAUUUCCUCUAUUUUAAAGACUUGUGAGUCGUAGCUUGAUUAUACUCUUUUAUGAGUAAUUAAAUUGGUUCCAAAUUGUGAAAUAACUUCUUUUGUAAAUUGAUUUCAUUUCCUCUAUUUCAAAGAUUUGUAGAGCCUUUUUAGUGGUAUAUUGAGUUGUAUUGCACUUCCUUGACCCUCACUCCUAACCCUGAUGUUAGUUUAUGAUUGGGUCAUGAUCAAGUGAGUGGUAGUCUUGAUCAUACUCCUUUUUAGUAGAGUAUUGGAAGGGUGCAUUAUGGCAUUUAUGCAUGGCUUGGCAGUAUCUGCAGAACACCUAUAGUCGAUGGGGGUUGAACAUCGGCCUUUGUGCACAUAGUAGCCUUCUGGGUGGGCGGAGCCCAGUCCCUUCCUAGGGGGGAC
This 1503-nucleotide long non-coding RNA is filed under the name Phoenix dactylifera (date palm). RNAcentral describes it as "long non-coding RNA (PDAC_LNC004241)". The record is from RNAcentral. Lineage: Eukaryota; Viridiplantae; Streptophyta; Magnoliopsida; Arecales; Arecaceae.